This 363-nucleotide ribosomal RNA is filed under the name uncultured bacterium. RNAcentral's name for it is "bacterial SSU rRNA". It matches the Rfam family "Bacterial small subunit ribosomal RNA", at positions 29 to 419 of the family's 1533-position model. The record is from RNAcentral.
AGCGAACGCUGGCGGCAGGCCUAAACAUGCAAGUCGAACGCCGUAGCAAUACGGAGUGGCAGACGGGUGAGUAACACGUGGGAACAUACCCUUUGGUUCGGAACAACACAGGGAAACUUGUGCUAAUACCGGAUAAGCCCUUACGGGGAAGAUUAUCGCCAAAGGAUUGGCCCGCGUCUGAUUAGCUAGUUGGUGGGGAACGGCCCGACCAAGGCUACGAUCAGUAGCUGGUCUGAGAGGAUGAUCAGCCACACUGGGACGUGAGACACGGCCCAGACUCCUACGGGAGGCGAGCAGUUAGGGAAUCUUGGACAAUGGGCGCAAGCCUGAUCCAGCCAUGCCGCGUGAGUGAUGAAGGCCUUA